RNAcentral lists this long non-coding RNA (444 nucleotides) under Ananas comosus (pineapple). RNAcentral describes it as "long non-coding RNA (ACOM_LNC012935)". The record is from RNAcentral. Lineage: Eukaryota; Viridiplantae; Streptophyta; Magnoliopsida; Poales; Bromeliaceae.
UUUGGUUCGAUAUUGUAGAAAGCGCUAGAACUAUAAAUACUUUAUUUCGUUGCAUACAGUUAAGAAGUGUAUCAUGAAUUUCUACCAUUUUAUACAUAGGAUGGAGUGAUUAUCCCUAUGUAGUAAAGGAAAAGAAAAACUUUAUUUUAUUAUUAUUAGAGAUCAGGUAAAUUUACAUUUGUUUAAAAUUACUCUCUUUAAGUGCUUCAGUUGGAAUUGCUGCUAAUUUGUGCAUAUUCAACUGCUGCAGUUGAGACUCGUGCAAUUGCAACCUCGUAAAUAUCCCCCCUCUUUUCACAUCUCAACUGCAGCAGCUGAAUUUAAAUGUAUUAAACUAAAUAUCGAGUUUGGAUCUACAUGCAGUUGUAACUGCAGUACAAUUGCAACUACGCACAAACAAACAGUCGUAAAAGAAUAAACAUAUAGUAAAAUAUAUAUAUAUAA